AUUGAACGCUGGCGGAAUGCUUUACACAUGCAAGUCGGACGGCAGCACGGGGGCAACCCUGUGGCGAGUGGCGAACGGGUGAGUAAUACAUCGGAACGUGCCCAGUCGUGGGGGAUAACGUAGCGAAAGUUACGCUAAUACCGCAUACGAUCUACGGAUGAAAGCGGGGGACCGUAAGGCCUCGCGCGAUUGGAGCGGCCGAUGGCAGAUUAGGUAGUUGGUGAGGUAAAGGCUCACCAAGCCGACGAUCUGUAGCUGGUCUGAGAGGACGACCAGCCACACUGGGACUGAGACACGGCCCAGACUCCUACGGGAGGCAGCAGUGGGGAAUUUUGGACAAUGGGCGCAAGCCUGAUCCAGCCAUUCCGCGUGCAGGACGAAGGCCUUCGGGUUGUAAACUGCUUUUGUACGGAACGAAAAGGCUCUGGUUAAUACCUGGGGCUCAUGACGGUACCGUAAGAAUAAGCACCGGCUAACUACGUGCCAGCCGCCGCAGUAA
This 499-nucleotide ribosomal RNA is filed under the name uncultured bacterium. RNAcentral's name for it is "partial 16S ribosomal RNA". It matches the Rfam family "Bacterial small subunit ribosomal RNA", at positions 30 to 523 of the family's 1533-position model. The record is from RNAcentral.